RNAcentral lists this long non-coding RNA (4196 nucleotides) under Capsicum annuum. RNAcentral describes it as "long non-coding RNA (CANN_LNC001482)". The record is from RNAcentral. Lineage: Eukaryota; Viridiplantae; Streptophyta; Magnoliopsida; Solanales; Solanaceae.
CCGCACCUACCAGCCACACCCCUCUUUCUCUCUUUACCUUCUCUCUAUCCCUUUUCCUCUCUCACUGGUGCUCCUCUCUAUCAUUUCUGGCAAAAAUAGCCAUGAACACCCCCAAUCGACGUACCCAGACCGGCGGCUAGUGUCGUCCCUUUCUAUCUCAACCAGCCUAAGACAUUGUUGCCUCACCCACUGCUUCACCGGUGAAAUAUGUCGGCGAACCCAAUUGUUAUUGCUGACCGCUGCUUACCUCGAUCCUCUUUCUCCAACUGUGAUUCCAUUCGGCCUACCACGAGCAGUCAUUCCAGCAGUCAUCAGCCAGCGAUCUCGCUACCCAGCUGCGGGAGCUUCACCGCUCUAGCCACUGUCGCCUUCGAGCUUCAGUCCAACAUCGCUGGAAAACACUAAAGUCCUUGACGGAUUUUUUGAAUCCCGCCCAGGUUGUUUCUCCCUUUGAAUUUAUGCUCUUCUUCCACCGUUAUUUUUUUAGGCAGAUUCUUAGAUUUGAAAUCAGUGAAAUUUGACUUUGGUUUUUGAGAUUAUUCUCUCAAUUUUAUGUUUGUUUCUACCCUUAGACUAACAUAUAUGAAAAUGCCCAAAUUUUAUUAGCGAUGAUUAUUUUUUGUUUACAUUGAUAGUCACUGACUUGUUAAAUGCAUUUUGUUUGAAGGCUUUGUUUGACACAAUGAGUAUGUUGUGGUUGAAUUUAGUUAGCCUUCAAUCAUGCUCAACCCCGAUAUAUGAUUUGUGAUAGAUUCCAUAUCUUUGAUUCAAAAUUAAUGGGGUACACAGUGACGCCUAAUUCUAAACUUUGUCUGGUAUAGUAUUUGCUUGCUAAAUGUGAUAAUUUAAUUUAUUUUUCUCACUAGUAUUGAAGUUGUGUGAUAGCUGUUUUGAUGUCACUAGUUAUUGAUUUUAGCUGGCCUAUUUUCUUACUUCUCUAUUCAUGGUAAGCUUGAUUCAGUCUUACAUUUAAUUGAGAAUAUUAGUUGGCCAAGUAAUGUGUGAUGAGUUGACUGAUUUUGAUUAUCCUUACCAUAUUGUUUGAAAAAAUCUUUUGAGAUUAAUUUCCUUCCUUAUUUGUCUUGCCUUGAAUAAGUCGGAUAAUCUUUUAUGUGAUCAAUUAUGUUAAUUGUGAUUGAUUUAUUUAAAUCUUGAUAUGAUUAUUUAAUGAAGGAAAAGAAUUUCUAUAAUCAUCCCUGAUUUAUCUCCUUUCCUUUAAUUAUUCAUUCUUCUAUCCACUAUAAAAACAAGACUCUUUUUCAUUACGGGGAUAACAAGCAAACUCUCUCCUCUUUUACACAUUUGAUUUCUACACUCCCUCAUACAAAAGCUUUUAGAAAAAAACAAAGGUUAGUUAAUGUUCUUAUUCUGAAUUGCAUUUCUACCUUUGAAGUUUUGGUAUCAAUUUAUCCGUGGCAAUUCAUGUCUGACAUUCGGUAUUAUUUGGUUUUCUUAGUAUUGUUUUCUAUAUUCAACCAGUAAGUUUUCUAACGACGUAAUUUUAAUACCUUAUAUGAUAAUGCUAGAAAAUAUAUCUAUAGGAAUUACUUGAACUUUUGUGUGUUGUAUCGUUGUUGUGUCAUUUUGUGUUCGUAAUCAUAUCUUGAUAUUUUUGUUAGUCUCUUUGUGCUUGUCAUGCUAUGCCACGGUGUUUAAUAGGUUUGGGGAAAUUAAAAAGUUGCUCGAGGAUUUGAGAGGGAUUAUGUUUUUCCCUUUUAGUUUAGUCAAUUAUUCUUUUUAUUGGAAUGUAAUAUUUUAUAAAUGUCAUCGAUGUAGUAAUAAUAUUUAUGGGACUGCAUGGGGGGUGGGGUUUUAUAUGCUACGUGAAUCACCUAGGCAAAAGAAUAAUCUAGGACUAACAAUAAACUUUCGUGGUCACAUAGAAAGCAUGCUUUAAAGGAUAAUCAAUUAACUUACGAUCUAAUUUAAUUGUGAAGUGCUUUACGAUGUGUUUUACUUAGUUUUGACAUUGUCAUUAAUUUCAACGUCUUAUUGUAUCACCACUUUUUAUAAUAUAAAAUCAAUCUCGAUGUUAAACAGUUUUAUUUUUCAAAGGCAAUAUGUUUGGUUACAUAAAGUUAUUCCUUUUGCAAGUUAAAACAAAGUGUUUGUUUGUUUUAAUAAUUUUCAGCAAUACAAUUACUUUUCCAGCAUAUUAAUACUUAUUUCCAACAUACAAAGUCGUUGUUUAGCGUGUCUAAACAACGUUUCUGCAUAAAACCAUUAAUGUUCAGCAUGAUUAAAAUGCUAAUAUAAGCAUUUUCAGCAUGUUAAAUUAUAGAUUAAGUAUGUUGUUUUUCAACACAUUAAUGUGACUUUAGCAUGUUAACAUGAAAUUACUGUGCAUUAGCAUAAAUUUCAGCAUGUUAAAAUAUUAGAUUUUAGUCAUUUUUAGCAUUUUCCAGCAUAUUAAUAUGAAAUUUCUGCACGAUUAGCAUAAUUGACAGCAUGUUAAAAUGUAUGUUUUUGAGCUUUUCAAUAUGUUAAACACUAGAUUAAGUACAUUGUGUUUCUUAGCAUGUUAAUGUACUUCCAUUAUUUUGUUCGCAUUAGUUUACAACACUUGCACAAUGAAAUUCGUGAGCACAAUUUCUUGACACAUUUACCACACUUUGACAUCCUCUUUUAACAACUUGACAACACACUGUUACAUACAGGAAUCACAGUUAUCUUUUGUCAUAUUAAUCAAUUAUUGAACACUUAAACAUCCUGCCUAUAGGUUAUGACACAAAAUAAAUAAUUAUUUGUCUUUGCAUGUCCUUCAUAUUAAUCGACUUUAAUUAACCAUGACGCUAACUUGGUAUAAUUAUGUGCUACGUGAUGUCCUACUUGUUACGCCUUUUGAGUCAUAGGCAACAUAGUUUUAUUUUGUCUAGAACACAAAACUAAAAUAGCAAAAGUUCAAUACCUCUUGGACGAUAGGCGGGACGAUAAGAAUUACUAAAGACACUAGUUUUAUCCAUGUCUUAGAACUCCUUUAGAGUUAACAACCAGCCUAGGUGGGGUGGGACGGGUAGUUAUUCGAAAAUGAUGAUCUCCAACAUAUAUUAAAGGUAUGACAUAUGAAUUGUCUAAGAGUUCGGCCAGUGGGUCGGAUGAUGAUUAAACAAGUUGGGGUUCCGAUACGAAUGAAACAAAAACCUUUCUUUAUUUGAUUUUCAAAUUUACUCUUUUAUUUACAUUGCAUGUUUAUUUAUUUGGGGUAGUUAGUUUAUUACAUAAGUAGUCCUUUUUUUUAUAAUUUAUAUCACUUCUUUCUCCUCGCUUAUCUUAUUAUAUGUUUUUAUCAUUUAGAUAAUUAACAAUUAGAAAUGAUAAAAUAACAUGUGUUUGCUUAUUAAUUACUUGAUCACUUAGUUAAUAUUUAAGUUCAUAAAACAUGAGACCUUUAUUUGAUCACGUAGAAUCCCUACGUAAAAUACGAAUUCAACCAGAAACAACCUUUGUGGACUUCGAAAGGUGCCUAGCACCUUUCUCACGAGGUAAUUUGAACCCUUACCCGAACUCUGAUGAACUAAGACAAAACAACAAAAUAGAAUCGUAGUAGCCUAGACCGGUGCCCUAACACACCUUAAUACUUUAGGUGGCGACUCUUCACACUCACCCUUCAAACAAUCUCAAAAAGAGUGGUCACGUCGAAUCCCGGUUUUCACGAGAAAAAUAGGACACGACAGAUUCAGGUCCACCUUUUAGUAUUGAAAUCGCUUAAGUAAACAUAUGAAAUAAGCUAUCUUCUUAUUCAUGAAUUAUGUUUUUGAACUUCUCUGUGAACAAAAUGUGUUGGUUUCUGCUGUUAGUUUUAAACUAGUGUUUCUCUAUGCUAAUGAUAAAUAUUGUAGAAACUGUGGACAUAUAAAUUAUCGGUGAACCUCGAUUAGUUUUGACUUAUUUCCCGACGUAAAUCUAUUGAUUUUCAAAUAGAUGUUCUACAAGCAAGCGAAGAAAACCAAUUCAUGUUUAACAGUAUUCUAGAUGAUUUCAGAAGAUGAUAGUGCAUGAUUAAACCAUGGACGAGUUACUCGAGUCUAUGUUACAAAGAAGUAUUAGAGAAUUAUUUGUUUAUAUCAUCUAUGAUAUUCUGUAAGUUUGAAUUUUUUUGGUUGUCUUGUUGUAAUGUGAUCUCAGCUAUUUACAUAACUAGUGUGUCUCUCUUGUUAUCUGAGUUUGUUACAUAAAGAUAAGUUUGUAUCUCUCGA